Molecule: non-coding RNA, 87 nt
Filed under: Eremococcus coleocola
Lineage: Bacteria; Bacillati; Bacillota; Bacilli; Lactobacillales; Aerococcaceae
Also listed under: 1 other name
Description: TPP sequence
Rfam family: TPP riboswitch aptamer (THI element)
About the family: Vitamin B(1) in its active form thiamin pyrophosphate (TPP) is an essential coenzyme that is synthesised by coupling of pyrimidine and thiazole moieties in bacteria. The previously detected thiamin-regulatory element, thi box was extended, resulting in a new, highly conserved RNA secondary structure, the THI element, which is widely distributed in eubacteria and also occurs in some archaea.
Source: RNAcentral
UAAUAACAUUUGGGGUGCGUUUGCUGAGAUUAUACCCAUGGAACCUGUCCAGAUAAUGCUGGCGUAGGAAAAUGUUCUAAGAAGGCU